Long non-coding RNA from Brassica napus (rape), 3213 nucleotides. RefSeq lists it as uncharacterized. NCBI's taxonomy places the organism in Eukaryota, Viridiplantae, Streptophyta, Magnoliopsida, Brassicales, Brassicaceae. The record is from RefSeq and is a predicted model, not a curated record. The transcript is spliced from 3 exons.
UAGGGAGGAAGAUAUGAGCAGUGCUCGUAUGAAAGACUUCUCCCAUAUAUAUAAAAACGGUUUCCUCGUAACUUCGUCGUAAUGUUACGAGGAAGUUACCAGACCCGUGUUUUCGUUUACGACGAAGUUACCAGGCCCGUGUUUUGGUUUACGACGAAGUUACCAGGCCCGUGUUUUUUCAUUUACGACAAAGUUACCAGACCCGUGUUUUUUCAUUUACGACGAAGUUACUAGGAAAUAGUAUUUUAUGUUACGACGAAUUUACAUGGAAAUAAUAUUUUAUGUUACGACGAAGUUACCAGGCCCGUGUUUUUAUUUACAAUGAAUUUACGAGGAAAGUAUGAAACCCCAAAAAUCAAAUCCCUAAACCCCAAAGUUAUCAUCUUUACCAUUAUCACUCAUUAAUACUUUCAUCCUCUUUAUCCAACUAAAACCCUUAACUUCAACAAAAUAAAAUUUUUUACCUUAAGAAAUAGAUAUUAUACAAGACAACUUAUAGUACACAUACAUUAAGUAUCUCACUUAAGCAAUAAAAAACAACAUUGGGUGCAAUAUUUUGUAAAGAUAAAAACAACAUUUGUUACAUAUAUUACAUCAUUCUGAAUCGUUUGAGUUCUCAUCAACAUCUGAACAGUCAUCGUCGUCACUACAAUCGAACUCGUCUUCACGUGCUUCAUCUGUCGCAUCUUCGGGAAGAUCUUCAUAUUGAUGGUUAUUUGGGUCGAUCAGAAGAUUUUCAUCAAGUUGUUGAUCAGGAACCUCAACUUCAUUAAUAGCAUCUUCUUCUUGCAAUGGUGGUUCUUCUCCAGCAACAAUUCGUCCACGAGGUAUAAUUUUGAUAGUAGCCAACCAAUUAAUCCCAGAACUUCGAAGGCGAGGGUAUGGAAGAAAGCUAACUUGUUCAGCCUGGAAAGCUAGGAUGAAAGGCUCGAAUUUGUUGUAUCUUCUCCCAUAGUUGACAUCCACAACACCAAUUGGUGUUGAGAUAUGGAGGAGGACUAUCUCUGACAACUGUUGUCCGGUUUCCUCCACGCGGCACCGUUUCCAGAGCUCCAUAAUAAUCAAUUUCUGCUAGGAUCUGUUGUCCGGUGAGAUAUGGAGGGGGACUAUCUCUGACAACUUUUUUGUAUCUAAACAAUGUCUUAUUUCUUCGGUACGGAUGGGAGAUGGGAAGAAAUCGACGAUGACAAUCAAACCAACAACUCUUUCUACCAUUCUUCAGUUGAAAAGCAUCUGUCGAUCCACGACAAAUUGGACAAGAUAAUCUUCCAUGAGUUGUCCACCCAGACAAUAUCCCAUAAGCAGGAAAGUCACUAAUCGUCCAACUCCGUAUCUCGUAGAUAUUGCAUCCAUUAGCCAUUUUUUUUAGUUGUAUUUUUCAGUUUGGUAGGUAAAGGUUUAACAAGUAUUUUACAACGCAAUGUAUUACUACGGAUUUACAACUUUUUUACAAGGAUUUUACAUCCACUUUACAAGGAAUUUAGUUAGGUAUAAAGCACACUUAAUACACGUUUCGACCAAGUAUUAACGGUAACCCGAUUCGUUGUAAAAUACUUGUUAAAUUACAACGCCAUUACGAGGAAAUAUAAGGAAAUGGGAUUCCUCGUAAAGUCCUUGUAACAUUACAGCGUCUUUACGAGGAAAGAUAAGGAAACAGGAUUCGUCGUAAAGUCCUUGUUACAUUACAAAGCGUUUACGUGGAAUUUAAUUUUUCACGUAAAAGCGUUGUAACUUUACAACGACUUUACGACGAAACAGUUUCGUUGUAAUAUUACAUCCGCUUUACGACGAAACUGCUUUUCGUUGUAACGUCGACGUAAUCUACUUGUAAAUUUACGAGGAAUUAUGUUCGUUGUAAAACUUCGUUGUAAAGCCAGUGUUUUCUUGUAGUGUUUACAUUAUAUCAAUCGGGCCUGGCCACAUUGAGAGUUGUGAGAGAAUAAGGGGUAGUGAAAUUAGGUACCAAUAAUUUCUGCCGCAAUCUCAUGGCUUCUCUUGGCCUUUGGAAGAAGGUCGCAACUCCGCUGCCCUCUGGCUGGAAGAUGGCUUGUACAACGGUGGCUGCGCCGUUUUCAUCUACCGUCGAGAACUCUGAUCCUAUCAAGGCAGAGAAGGUGGGGAAGAUGAAGGUAUUCCAGAAGCUGAAGUCACUUACGGUUGAGACAAUAGAUCUCAUCUUAAAGGAGGAAGAGAAGAAGGGCGUUUACGUCACUCAAACGGAUCUUGUCAGAUGGGCGAAACGUAUUGAUAAGAGGAACAACAGGCCUGAAAACUCUCGAGAUCUUUAGGUGGAUGGAUAAAAAGAAGAUGGUGUUUUCUCCCUCGGAACUUGAGCUUUAUGUGGAUCUUCUGGGCAAGGUUAAAGGAGCAGCAGCGGCUUCAGCCUACUUUGAAAAAGUAGAGCCAAAUUUCGAUGAGAUGGACGCUGAUGCCGAAAAUAGACCUGCUUAUUUGAAGGUCUUGCAUUGGUUCCGAGUUAAAGAACAGAAUCAGACUUCGGGGGGCAAAACCACAUGUUCUUAAGUUCCCUAAAGUUGAUGAUCCUCAAUGGGCUAAGAAUUCUACUCCUACUACUCCUGCUCAAAAGAGAAAUCUUUUUUCCAAGCUCAAAUCCUCUGAAACCUGUUGUGCCCACCUUUUGACAGAGAUGGAGGACCAAGGGUUUUGCAUCACCAAAGCAGAUCUAAACCGCUGGAUAAAACUCCUCCAAAAACAAGGACAAACACAGAAAGCUCUACAGAUCGACACGUUUAAGAACUGGAAAUACGUUUCCUUUUAUCAUCAACUGCGUGGAACGUUUAACCAUAGCUCUGUUUCUUGGGAGCCAAGUAACAAUAUCCCUGACGUAACUCAAGUGGCGACAACAGGCUUUUUGCAUGGCUAUGCAAAUUCUACGUAGGUCAAUAAGUUGUUUUUAAUGCUUUGUUUAAGGAUUGCAUUAGUCUUGUCUCAAUACUACAACAAUGGUUUGAUCAGCUGAUCACACUGGUCAACAACAGAUUCUCUUACGUGGUGUCAUACCACUGAUGACAUUUACUCAGUAAAAGACUCAUAAAAUCAUCACUAUAUAUUCACUUUAAAAUCAUCACCCUUUUUUGUGUUUUUGGAGUGUUCUAAAGGGAUGCGUUUAGAAUUUGUAUGUCGUUUGUAAGGUAAACAAAGGAGGAUAAAAAAAAAAAAGUUAAGUCACUUCUUGAGUUAAUUGAUGAUAGU